UAUUGCCUUAUAAGUAUAGUAGCAAUUAGAAACAUCUGUGAGAAAAAAAUUUCCUCAAGAAUGUUAUUUUGUGGCAAAUAUUUUUCUGAAGGUUAUGCUGGAUUUUUCACUCUUCAAUUGGAAUCACCCUCCUAUUCAUCCUUUCUUCUUGGUUCUCAGAAUAGUGUCAGUUGUGUAUUUAUCCACUAUGAGAUUAUUUGAAGAUUUUCUUAAUAAAAUAUAAAAUUCUUAGCAUACAUACACUUGUGUAUGUAAAAUAUAUAUAUGUAUACAAUGUAAUACCUUAUCUUUGAAGCCUAUCUGCUACUUGUCCUAUCAUCCAUGGAUAUAGAUAUUUUACCCCUUGACGUCAAAAUAUCCCUCUUGUAUCUAUUGUUACUAUUGAUUGUUUUCCACUGAUGUGUGUAGCUUACCUACCCAGGUCUUCUUGGAGAAGAGAUUUCACCAACAGGUGUUCACCAGGGUUUGAAUAAUACGUGACAAGCACGUUGAUAAGUGGGAUGUAAACCUGUCACCUUCCCAACUACUGUAAGCAAACGAAUAUUAAUGCAUAUACAUAUAGACAUGACUCUCAUCCUUAUCAUAUUUACUUAAAAAUUGGGAUUUUUAAUGUGGAGAAUGUUCAAACAUCUAGAGGGGCUGAAUGGCUGCGAUAUCAUCAAGGUAACUGAAGGAACUGGAGUGUUUUGAGGAGCCGUGACUCACACACCUCGUAGCUUUGGAUGACGUGCUCUCUGUGCCCUGCCUGCCACCAUGGGAUUUGUAAUGGGCUUGGAUUUGUCCUAAGAGGAUACGGAAACAUUAUGUUCUGUGCUUCACAUAACUGGUAACAGGCACCAUCCCAACAGCUUUAAAAAAAUAUGUUCAUGACUCAGUGCCCAAAUAGGCGAUUCAGAGAGGAAGGAUCAUUGACAUUCAGAGGAGAGAGAGGGCAAGGGCUGCUGUGUUUAUUUUGCCACGCUCAAUUUAUCCUUUCCUCCCAGAAAGUUACUUACCUCUAACUUUGAAUUUCCAGCAGUACAUUCAGCCAUGAAUCGCCCCCAUUUAUAACUCUUGUUACCAUUUAUCAAUAUAAAGCUUGUUUAUAAGAAGACUUAAAAAAAUUUUUUUUGUGGGGGGAGGUAAUUAGGUUUAUUUACUUCAAUGGAGGUACUGGGGAUUGAACCUAGGACCUCAUGCAUGCUAGGCAUGCACUCUACCACUGAGCUAUACCCUCCCCACUAAAGCUUAUUUAUAAAUGAGCAGAACCAGACAUUUUCCAUGUUCAUGACAUGGCUUUGUGUAGGGAGCAUUGGGGUGAACUUCUCAACAUCCAUCCCACCCCAGAUGAUCAGUCUAAGACAGUUGGGGCAAUUGUUUCCCACAUGGUUACACAGGCGACCCAAUUGUCACCAGUGGGAUGAAACCUCUGGAAGAAGUUUCCUCUCCAAAGAGAAAGCCCCAGAAGUAACUGCCAUGGCUGCCCUGCUACCAGCCUGAGAAUGACACAGACACCAAGACGGCUGAGUGGAGAAUGAAAGAUCGUGAGGCCUUGUUGACUCCAGCCACAGAUGCAGGGAACCCCGAAGCAGGUCCUACAGCAAGACUUCCACGUAUGUGCAGAUCAUAAAUUUUCUUACUGUUUAAGCCAUUUGAGCUGGGGUUUCUAUUACUUGCGACUAGAAGCAUCCUCACUGAUAAACUUCUCUUAAGAGGAAUGACUCAUGGGGAAACAAUCCUUCCAGCUUCUGCUUGACUCUGGCCUCCACAGAUAAUUAUCUGGGCCAUCAGAUACAUAAAAAAUAUGGAGGUCAUAAGAUUAACGUGAGUGGUUACAUUUAGGGAGAGGGUGGAGAUAUUGACUGGGAGGGGGCCUGAGAGGGGCUUCUGGAAUGUUGGUAAUUUCUUGAUCUGGGUGGUGGUUAUAUGGGUGUGUUUACUUUGGGAUAAAGUCAUUGAGCUGUAGACUUAUGACUUGUGUACUUUUCUGCACGUGAGUUAUACGUCAGUUAAAAAAAAUUAUUUUGUAACCAGUCCUCCAAACAAACUGUUUGUAUCUUGACUGGAAGAGUAUGAAUGACAUACCGUGGUCAUUUUAUUAGGUAGCCAAACUAAGCUAUAGCGAAAUGCUCUCUCUGAUAAAUUUCCAGAAGCUCAUUGUAAAGACCUCCCGUCACUAGUGUGCGGUCAACCUUCUCUAACCUCAGCCAGAAUGUUUUCCCUUAGUGUUUGGAUCAGAAGGCCUCAACGCCUUGCAGAUGUAGGACUUCAUCCUUUUUAGAAUACAGUCACAAUAAAUAUUAAAACCAGAAUAAGAACUAACAAGUUGGCAUCCGUCCAUGUAGGGCUUUGUCAGGUAAUGGUCUCAGAGAGGCAUUUGAAUUAUGAAAGGGUCCACUCCCAGGAAACCAGUGAGUUUGGAGAAGGCACUCACACAGCCCAGGUUAUUGAGACCUCUAGUUCACAGAGGAAGAGAUGUAACAUAUUUAGUUAGUUGUUUGUGGAAGAAUAUAUGGGCUUUGGGGACCAAAGUAUCUGGAAAAAGACUUGGCUCCAAUAGAGGAAAACCAGCUAAGGAAAGUUACCAUAAAUCAUAGGUUGGAGAGUGGAAUUGGACAUGGGGUAGCAAGGCCUUGGGACUGUUGGUCUUCAUGAGGGAGAGGAUAUGGAGUGCAAUCACGUCAUGAAACUAAAUGAGGAAAGUGGUUGGUUGGUGGUCAGGGCCAAGGAGUUCAAAUUCCUUCGCGCUGUAGAGCCCUGUCUUGACUGAGGAGCCGCAUUGAUUCCCAGAACUGGAAGCUCAUAAGAAUGUGGAGGCAUAAUAAUUUAUCUACCUAACACCUAACUUCAGGGUGCUUUCACAUUCGGUAUAUCCUCGCCACAACCUUGUGAGGUGGGUGAGUUAGAUAUGGUCAUAAGAGAGAAAGUGACUAAGAGAAUGAGCUUUAGAGUCAGACAGACCUGCGUCUGAAUCCUGUCUCUGUCCUAUCAGUGGAGUGGUGGUGUGAAAUUCAGCCUGUGUGGUGCUUCUCACCUCCGGGGAACAUUUGGCAACACAUGGAGACGUGUUUGAUUGUCACAACUGGAGGAGUGCCAUUAGCAUUUAGUGGGUGGAGGCCAGGGGUGCUGCUAAACAUCCUACAGUGCACAGGACAGCUCCCGACUGCAAAGAAUUGUUCAGCCCCAAGUGUCAGUAGUGCUGCUGUUGAGAGACCCUGGGUCCUAUCUGAUUCUUAGUCUCUUUGUCUGUGUAAUGGGAUAUUGACAUCCCCUCAUUGCAUUGUUAUAAAGAGUAGAUUAAGUAAUAGUUGAUACUGGGUUGUCUGUCCUUCCACUCUCCCUGCCAUUCUGGGCGCUGCCCUCUUAGGACUCUACAGCUCUACAGAAUUAAAUUUCCAUGGGCUGACUGCCAGCCACCUGUAGUCCCCACUUAGUUUCAUGAUGUUUGUCCCUGGCCAGUGUUUUGCUUGGUGUGACUCUGCCCCCUUUGCCACAGUUGAUUGGAUCAGGGGUGGACACUGGAUCCAAGCUAGAGUGGUAAGAACUCUUUUCCCAAGGAACUUGGUAAUUUGUACUGAGAGGUUCCAGGCUUAGUUUGGCUGGUAUCGUGAAUGGAGAAGAUACAAUCCUGGGAGCUGUGGGUGGUCAUUUUCUCACAUGUGAAUGGGAUGCAGGGACAGCCAGUUUAUAACAAAAGAGAAGAAUGCAACAGUUACAGAGAGAAGCACAGCAAUAAGAGACAGUCCUCGGAGUGUGUUCCCUGGCCACGCCCUCCCCUUCAGUUCAGUAGGCCAUUUCUGUGUCCAUGUUAAACAUUUGCCUAAGCCAGCUUCAGUUAUGUGUUUCUUAUGCUCAAGGGACACAUCAUGACUACUGGUGAAAUAUGGAAAAGCACUUAGCAUGGUACCUAGGAAUAGUAAGCCCUAAAUAAGUGGCAGUUAUUAUUAUUAUUCCCAUUUUCAAGGUAAGAAAAUCAAGGCAGAGAGAUUAAAUAAUUUGUCUUAUGUCACACAGCCCUGGAGUGGUAAACCUGAUCUGGAAUCCAGGCCUCCUGACAUUGAGACCUGGGUUCUGUUCUGUUUAUUCUUUGAACUGUGCAUGAGUAAGUAAGUACCUCUGUACGGCUAAAAAUAAUUUCAAAUGAACCCUGGUGUAUCCAUCACCCAGGAAAAGAACUAGAAAACUGGCUGCCACUCAGAAGACCUUCCUGCGUCCCUCCCUGACACGUCUCCCUCUCUCUCUGCCAGAGGACUGGCCUCAGUGGAGAGAAGUGUAUUCUUGGAGAACAAGAGGAGAAGCGGGGUUGGUGCAAGGCUGACGAGUGUGGUUCAGGUGAAACAUUCACAUGGAAAAUCUCCCUCCCCUUCUUGUCCUCAUCUGCAAAGACACCCAUUCCCC
This is a non-coding RNA of Vicugna pacos (alpaca), 4377 nucleotides long. The record is from RefSeq and is a predicted model, not a curated record. NCBI's taxonomy places the organism in Eukaryota, Metazoa, Chordata, Mammalia, Artiodactyla, Camelidae.